UCAGGCAACGAGCGAGGCCCACGCCAACAGUUGCCAGCUCGUCCUCCGGGGAUGGUGGGGACGACUGUUGGGACCGCCUCUGCUAAAGAGGAGGAAGGAAUGGGCAACGGUAGGUCAGCAUGCCCCGAAUUAUCUGGGCUACACGCGGGCUACAAUGGGUGGGACAAUGGGUAUCGACACCGAAAGGUGAAGGCAAUCUCCUAAACCCAUCCGUAGUUCGGAUUGUGGGCUGCAACUCGCCCACAUGAAGCUGGAAUCUGUAGUAAUCGUGUCUCAAAAUGGCACGGUGAAUAUGUCCCUGCUCCUU
This 307-nucleotide ribosomal RNA is filed under the name uncultured Methanomicrobiales archaeon. RNAcentral describes it as "bacterial SSU rRNA". It matches the Rfam family "Archaeal small subunit ribosomal RNA", at positions 1034 to 1338 of the family's 1478-position model. Lineage: Archaea; Methanobacteriati; Methanobacteriota; Methanomicrobia; Methanomicrobiales. The record is from RNAcentral.